CGCAGCGCGGCGCGGGAGCCUGGGGCUGGCGGACUCUCGUGCGCGGGGACUGCCUCCCCGCGCCCGCCGGCGGGAGGCGCGCCGGCUCGCGCCCCCGCCGCGCAGCUCGAGCUCCGACUCCCGCUCCGCUGCCACCUGACUCCCCCUCUCUCCCGCGGAAGCGCGCCUGGCUCCCGACCCACACCCAGCCUGGGGAGAAUUGCUUCUGCACUCCCCGGGCUGUGGCGUCUUUGGAGUUGGAUGUGAUCGUUUCUCAAAAUGGAACUGAAAAGUUGAGAGUUGCUUCUUUCUUUGCCCCUCUGCACUGUGGAAAAAAAAAAAAAACCCCAAAAACAAAACCUGUAUGCGCCUCCCUGUCUGCAGAAUGGGAGUAAUAACUGGAAAAAAAAAAAAAAAAACUAAGAAAAUAAGGAGAUGGCGGGGGUGGAGGGGGUUGAAAAUAAAACUUUCUGUGUUUUAGGAAACAAUCUUUAAUAAAGGGAUUUAAAAAUACUACCGGUGUUGUGGACU
This 510-nucleotide long non-coding RNA is filed under the name Marmota monax (woodchuck). Lineage: Eukaryota; Metazoa; Chordata; Mammalia; Rodentia; Sciuridae. The record is from RNAcentral.